This 440-nucleotide ribosomal RNA is filed under the name uncultured bacterium. Its description in RNAcentral is "partial 16S ribosomal RNA". It matches the Rfam family "Bacterial small subunit ribosomal RNA", at positions 338 to 795 of the family's 1533-position model. The record is from RNAcentral.
CCUACGGGUGGCAGCAGUGGGGGAUAUUGCACAAUGGGGGGAACCCUGAUGCAGCGACGCCGCUUGUGGGAAGACGGUCCUCUGGAUUGUAAACCACUGUCCCCAGGGACGAAAAUGACGGUACCUGGGGAGGAAGCUCCGGCUAACUACGUGCCAGCAGCCGCGGUAAUACGUAGGGAGCGAGCGUUGUCCGGAAUUACUGGGUGUAAAGGGAGCGUAGGCGGGGAUGCAAGUUGGGUGUCAAAACUACCGGCUCAACUGGUAGUCGCACUCGAGACUGGAGCUCUUGAGUGAAGUAGAGGCAGGCGGAAUUCCUAGUGAAGCGGUGAAAUGCGUAGAUAUUAGGAGGAACACCAGUGGCGAAGGCGGCCUGCUGGGCUUUUACUGACGCUGAGGCUCGAAAGUGUGGGGAGCAAACAGGAUUAGAUACCCCAGUAGUC